CAGAUUUUAGUUAAAAUAUAAUAAUUGUUUUGGAGACAUUAGUUAGAAGAAAAUUCUUAAUCUGA
RNAcentral lists this transfer RNA (65 nucleotides) under Epanerchodus koreanus. RNAcentral describes it as "tRNA-Pro". Lineage: Eukaryota; Metazoa; Arthropoda; Diplopoda; Polydesmida; Polydesmidae. The record is from RNAcentral.